GAUUAAGGGCGCGCGGUGGAUGCCUAGGCUCUCGGAGGCGAAGAAGGACGCGAUAAGCCGCGAUAGUCCACGGCGAGGUGCAAGUAACCCUUGACCCGUGGGUUUCCGAAUGGGGCAACCCGGCCGUCUAGAUGACGGUCAUGCAUUAUCAUGCAGGCGAACGCGGGGAACUGAAACAUCUCAUUACCCGCAGGAGAAGAAAACAACAUGUGAUUCCCCCAGUAGUGGCGAGCGAACGGGGAAGAGCCCAAACCGCUGCCGUUUCGGCGACAGCGGGGUCAUGGGACCGCGACAUUCGACGUGAGACGAAGUGCAAUUACCUGGAAAGGUAAGCCGUGGAGGGUGACAGCCCCGUGCACGACACCUCUCACGAAGAUAGCGGUAUCCCGAGUAGGGCGGGACACGAGAAAUCCUGCCUGAAUUCGCCAGGACCUCCUGGCAAGGCUAAAUACUCCCGAGAGACCGAUAGUGAACCAGUACCGCGAGGGAAAGGUGAAAAGUACCCCGAGCAGGGGGGUGAAAUAGACCCUGAACCCGCGCGCCUACAAGCGGUCGGAGCCACGCGAUGUGGUGACGGCGUGCCUUUUGCAUAAUGAGCCUACGAGUUAGUCGUCACCAGCGAGGUUAAGGGCUUCAGGCCCGUUAGCCGAAGUGAAAGCGAGCCUUAACAGGGCGUCGAGUUGGUGGCGCUAGACGCGAAACCUUGUGAUCUACCCACGAGCAGGUUGAAGUCGCGGUAACGCGUGAUGGAGGACCGAACCGGUAAACGUUGAAAAGUUUUCGGAUGACUCGCGGGUAGGGGUGAAAGGCCAAUCAAACUGGGAAAUAGCUCGUACUCUCCGAAAUGCAUUUCGGUGCAGCCUGUGAUGUUCUGUUCCAGAGGUAGAGCUACUGGUUGGACGCGAGGGCUUCACCGCCUAUCAAAUCCGGAUAAACUCCGAAUGCUGGAACACGAAAUCAUGGAGUGAGCCCGCGGGUGCUAAGGUCCGCGGACGAGAGGGAAAGAACCCGGACCACCGGCUAAGGUCCCGGAUGGACAGUUAAGUUGAUCAAACGAGGUGGGAUCGCGGAGACAGCUAGGAUGUUGGCUUGGAAGCAGCCAUUCAUUUAAAGAGUGCGUAACAGCUCACUAGUCGAGCGAUCCCGCGUGGAUAAUACACGGGCAUCAAACUGUCAACCGAAGCCGUGGGGUUAGCUUUAUUGCUAACCGGUAGGAGAGCAUUCCUGCCAGCUUUGAAGGUCACCCGCGAGAGUGACUGGAGCGGCAUGAAAAGCAAAUGUAGGCAUAAGUAACGAUAAUGGGGGCGAGAACCCCCCACGCCGCAAGACCAAGGCUUCCCCGGCAAUGUCAAUCAGCCGGGGGUCAGCCGGCCUCUAAGGCUAACCCGAAGGGGGAUGCCGACGAGAAACGGGUUAACAUUCCCGUGCUUCUCGUCACCGUGACGCGGUGACGGGGUGAUGAAUGGACCGCGCGCAGACGGAAUAGCGCGUUGAAGGCCGUACCCUUUGAGGGUGGUAGUCAAGCACGCCACCGGAGGCGACAGCCGAUAGUACCUCGAGGCCUCGGCCGAGGGGAUAGCGUCCAGGCAAUUAACCCCCUAGAAAACCCGCUAAACUUCAAGUGACGAGGAACCGUACCGUAAACGGACACACGUGGUCGGGUAGAACAUACCAAGGCGCUCGAGUGAUUCAUGGUCAAGGAACUAGGCAAAAUAGUCCUGUAACUUAGGGAUAAAGGACGCUCUAGUGAUAGAGCCGCAGAGAAAUGGCCCAGGCGACUGUUUACCAAAAACACAUGGCUAUGCCAAAUCGAAAGAUGACGUAUAUGGCCUGACACCUGCCCGGUGCCGGAAGGUUAAGAGGAGAGCUCAUCAGUAAUGAGAAGGUUUGAAUUGAAGCCCCGGUAAACGGCGGCCGUAACUAUAACGGUCCUAAGGUAGCGAAAUUCCUUGUCGGGU
Molecule: ribosomal RNA, 1958 nt
Filed under: human gut metagenome
Description: bacterial LSU rRNA
Rfam family: Bacterial large subunit ribosomal RNA
Source: RNAcentral